CUGUGAGAAAAAUGAGAAGAGGUUUACCUGCAUCAACCCCAAGAAGAGCAAUAUCUUGGAGUUUCCUGCUUUGAAGGACUACAUAGCUAUGAUUACCAUGUCUGUGAUUACAAGACCAUCAGUGAGACAGGUGAUCAUGUGAACUCCAGGGCCACCCUUCGGAUGGCCUUGUCAAUGGAGGAUGAAAUAAAGCUGUGGCUGAAAGCUCACACAGUCAGCUGGAGGGUGGACCGAACAUAUCCAAGAAAGGGCCAGAAAGUUCUUUACAAGGUGGACUUCAGAUGCCAGCAUAAGACGAGACCUCGGGGUGUUGAACAAGUGCCAGGCAGAAGCAAGAACACAAACUGCCCUGCUAAGAUGACUGUGACACUCCUUUCUUAAGAGACACUAGUUGAUGGGUAGAAUUUAAGAAGUAGGGUAAAAUGACAUGCUGUUGCACACUUUUACAGUAGGUGGCGGUAUGCAGCUUAAAUUGUACUUAGGACUUUUGAGCUUGGUAUGCUGAUGUAUUGUCAUGUUGUUAUUUUGUCUUGAUUGUUGUUUGUCUGCCUGUGCAAUAGUUGUCUUAUGUGUUGUUGUGUUUUUACUUCUGUAUUAGUUGUUGUUGUUUGUUUGCC
This is a long non-coding RNA of Lampris incognitus (smalleye Pacific opah), 617 nucleotides long. RefSeq lists it as uncharacterized. The record is from RefSeq and is a predicted model, not a curated record. NCBI's taxonomy places the organism in Eukaryota, Metazoa, Chordata, Actinopteri, Lampriformes, Lampridae. The transcript is spliced from 3 exons.